CGAAUAAAAGCAAAGCAAAAUAUCAUAUUAUCCAAUUUCACUCCCGCACUGCCAAUACUCUGCAUUGCCAAAAUCAGAUGAACCCCGUCUCGAUACAAAACAGGGGAACAAGACAUAAGAUCCUCCACCCAGCUGAAUUAGGAAUGCGCUCAAUGCUGUUGCCACCCCAAUGCAACAUUAUAACAUCCGGAGGGCCAAACUGAUCAACCAACCCUAGCAUUUUUAGGUGCCAUAUGUUUCCAUGUCAUGUCCCUCUGGCCAAACCAUCUUAUGGACAUUUUCCUGGAUAGAAGGACGUGUCAUAUUGUCAUUUUGGUGGGGGCCAAGUCAGAAGUAUCAGUGUAUGGUCGAUGCUUAUGUUGCCUCAAAGGAUAUGAAAGGGUGUGGUUCAUUUAACCGGAAAGAAUUUCUAUCAGGACAGCAGAUCACAUUAUAUUUUAGUUGCCUCUAUGCUAUUGAGAAGACGAUUAACUAUGAUGACUAUAUAUGCGCAAAAUUAGAAAAUGAAAAAGAUUGUGUGUGCUUAUCUUGUCUAUUUUGUAAUAUAUGAUUCUAAAAUAAAGGUAUACCAUUUAUAAUAGGAUACGAUUGUGAAAUAUUCAUCAUCGGAACCCACUGCUCAAAGGCCGUAAUUUAAGCGCCGAGCAUAGGCCUAAAUUUUGCAACCCUCACUGACAAUGGUGACGUCUCCAUAUGAGUGAAAAAUUCUUCGGCGGGACGUUAAAUGAUAAUCAAUGAAUCAACCCGUGGGUUCCAAUAAUGUCAGAUAUUAAAGAUAUUGACUUUCCCAGCAUACUAAAUGACUUCAAUAUGACCAUCAUUAGUAUGUUACAGUUACAAGCAAGAUCUUCUUAUGAUGUUGAAAUAUAAUUCACAUACCUAUGUUUAAAAAGAUACGUUAAACGAGUGACACUGCAUGAUGAACGUCCAGACUAUAGAAAAUAGAGGCCCUCAAUUGUUUUGAAUCAAAUACCAAGGUCACAAGUCAAGGUCAAAAUACUUCCUCGUAAGUAACUAUGUAAAUUGUCAAGUCAUGUAUUAAGAAAUGUUAGUUUAAUAGAUUUCAUACAUGGUACUGGCAUAAUAUUUCUUGCACAUACAUAGUAAGCAGAGCUAAUAUUGAAUUGAACUGCAGAGGGGGGGGGGGGGGGGGGGGUAAUUCCUCAUGAAUCAAUGAUAAAUUACAAUCUUUAUGUAUCCUAUUUAGUUUAUUUAACUUGAACAAUUUUUAAGAUCAAUGAUUCAAUUUCAAUGUCACACUUAAUUCGAUUGGCAAGGUGAAAAAAUGUACAUGAUAGUUUGAAAUAACUGAAAUAUUCAAAUAUGCAUUUUCUAAAUAUGGUAGUUAUUUUGAUGAAUUCUAAAGAUAUACAAUGCAAUUUGUGAUACAUGUACAAUACACAAAUAGAAAUCAUGCACAUUUGAAAAAAACAACUAAAAAAAACAACAACUAUUCAUUGAUUUAAUUAUCUGUUACAAAUUAAGAGUUUUUAUGAUUGAAGAACAUGCAUGAUGUAUAACAAAAUGAGAUUUACUUGAAAAGAAUGUGAACAUCAAGUUUGCUGUUUUGUGAUAUUUUGUUACCAUAGCAACAAUGUAAUAUGAAUUAUCUAUCAGUAUUAAUAUUUUAUGAACAUUGACUUCAGUUGAAUCUGUCUAUAAAAGCAUUUUUUUUUUUUGGUCUAAAAAUUUAUUUAUUUUGCAUGGAUUUCGAAUUUGAAAAGAAAUAGCAAUUUUCGUUUCCAUGGCAACCAACAUGAAUUUUCAUAUUAAACUUGUUAAAAUUUAAAAUCCAACAUCAGUAGCAGUCGGUUAUUAAGAUUAUAUACUUUGAAUACAUAGAAAAUUGUAUUUUGAAUUACAUUGAAAAAUGCAUCUCUACUGUCAUAUCAUGACGAAAUGCAUCAUUUUGUUUCCAUGGAAACACAGCUUAGAUGGUAGAUUCCCAAACAUGUCUCAUUGUUAUAUGAUAGUACUAUAUCUAAUGUAUGUUGUACAAGCAUUUAUAGAUUUCAAGCUGAAUGCGGGAAUUUUUAUCCAUCAUUCAAAUUUGCCUCUAAAUUAGCUUUUUCAGAAUGUAUCAAACAACCCUCUUUUCCAGACAGAAUGAAAAUAUAACAGAAUUAUUCAAACCUUUAACUAAAUAUCAAACUAAAUAUUAAAAAUGCUAUAUAUUAUCAUUUUAUAAUGAUUAAAUAAGAACUCAAACAGCUUAAUCCAGCAUAGUUGAAUAAAAAAUGUCAUUUUUCAUGUGAAAAUUGACUCUUUUGUGACCUGAAUGGCAUGCACGUGUUACCAUGGCAACAGAGUUGCAUAGCAACCAAAUUAUGAUGGUUUUACAUUACUUAUGCCAGAUUAAGUCGAUGUGCCAAAUUUGAAAAAAAUCGGUGACAGUGCGUGCCGGACCCCUUAUAUAAUUGUGUAAGUGGUUACAGAGAAUGGCUCUUAAGUUUUAAAGGACAUAUCGCAUGUUACUAAAAAAAAUAUUUUUUUUCAGCAAACUUAAUUCUUUCCAUGCCUUAAACUACUUUAAAUAUGUUUUAAAUUAUGUUUUAAAUUAAAUAUUUUGCGUACUUUUCGAGUUUGAAAGCGAUGACAUUCAAGAAUGAAUUAUGUGAAAAGAAAACUUGAUUGUACUAUAAAUGAUGAGACCAGUGGACACACGUAUCAGUGGUAAAUUGCAUUUCAGAUAUAAUCUUUGUUAUGAAUUGCUGAACUAAAGAAAGGAAAUUUUGUACAGGAAGUAAAGUCUUUAACGGUUCAGGGUCGAAUAUGUCACAAUGCUAUAAGAUGUAUGUCUUUCGCAAUAAAGUUAUUAUUAAUAAGUGUGGGAAAUAUUCAAGAAAGAUACUUUUCGUGACUGACAUGGGUUUUUACCCCGUGUGUGACAAAGGAAUAGGGUAUCUGAUAAGAGCUCUAUUCGUCCUGCACAACAGUUGUGUUAAUAUUUCAAAUUUAAGUCAUUAAGUGACAGAAUCAACUCAAAGCUAUUUGCAGUAUUUUGACAUAAAAUGUCUAUUUUAUCACAGUUUUUCUUGUAGGAAACUCGAAGCGCCGAUUUGAAAAGAAAGAACGACACAGGUUAAAUUAAUAUGGCGUGUAAAUCAUUGCAGUAUGAUACAAUUCUGCAUUUAUAUGUGAAAAUUAAAUUAAUAUUCAAUAUAUUUUGAUAUCUAUACGCGAAAAUCUUAAUUCAUAUUCGAUAAUCUUGUUAUGUAUAUAUGUGAAACUUUUGACUUAUAUUUGAUAAUUAUAUUAUUCAUAUGCGAAAAUAUUGAUUUAUAUUUGAUAAAUCUCGAUGUAUAUCAAUAAUCUUGUUAUUUUUCUGCGAAAAUCUCGAUGUAUAUUCGAUACACCAUGAUUUAUAUUCGGUAAAUCUUGAUUUAUAUUCAAUAUACCGAUAUAUAUUCAAUAAAUCUUGAUGUAUAUUCGAUACGUCUUGAUUUAUAUGUGAUAAAUCUUUAUUUAUAUUCAAUAAAAGGAUAUAUAAGUAGUAUAUGCGUCUGUCUGGGGUGGGUAAACAAUAGACCUAUUGUUCUCGAGAACAAUAGAAAUGGGUUUUUCCAGUUAUUUUAGAUAGACCUAUUGUUCCCGAGAACAAUAGGUCUAUUGAUAAAGGGUUUUUCCAGUUAUUCUUAGAUAGACCUAUUGUUCCCGAGAACAAUAGGUCUAUUGAUAAAGGGUUUUUCCAGUUAUUUUGUAGAUAGACCUAUUGUUCCCGAGAACAAUAGGUCUAUUGUUAAAGGGUUUUUCCAGUUAUUUUUAGAUAAAAUCUAUUGAUAUCCUCUGAGAUCAUGGGGGAAAUAGAUAAACAAAUAAACGAAAUUACUUAAAAAGUGAUUAAAUAGGUAAAAACGAAAGAAAGAAGGAAUUAUCUCCCUUUGCUUCAAGUUGAGAUUAAAGGCAUUGUGGGCUGAUCCUCGGAAUAUUCCAGCCAUUGACUGCGGAGGAAUACUACGCCGCCAGACGAUGUGGAGAUGGGUAACAUUGAAGAAGACCCUUGCGUAAAGUCUGCGCACUCCACCCCUUCAGACGGACCCCCCCCCCCCCUCCCAUCCCCGCCACGGUCACCCAUCCAAACGAGAUCAAUGACUGCUCAAAAGUAGUGAGUAUUAUAUCAUUAAUAUAUUGACUAAGUGAACACGUAAUUUUUUUCUUUCGUGUAUUUUGUAUUAGAUUUGAAUGCUCGUGAAUGUAAAAGUAAUUAUUGUGGAAUUAUUAUGGAUUAGAUCAAUUAAAAGAAAGUGUCACUCCACAGUAAUAUUAUUUUGAAAAUAAAAACUUUUUCUUUUCAGAUCCAGAUCAUGAGUGUAACCUUGAAACCAAAUACAAAAUUAAUGAAAAAAUGUACUUGUUUUUUUUUUUUUUUUUUUUUUAUUUCUUAUGACCAUCGUCUCUGACAGAUACAGGUAUAUCCAUCGAUGCAUUAAAGUAAAAUUAGUGUCAAGUUUCUUCGCUCGGAGUCCCUUGGAUUAUCUGAUACGACCUGCUCCAUUACGCCACUCGCAUAAUAUAACAAUACCUCAUUGAAUUUUACAUAGCAUCUCUUCGAUUCAUCCUGGUAUACAAGUAAAGCUUUUUAAAAAAGCUUGCCGUCUUUAGCAGCAACUCUAUAGAGCGAAGUUGAAUUAUGUCCCUUGUCUUCAUUAUUGAAUUGAGCUAAAAUAAAUAAUCUCACGGACAUCAUGCCUAUAAAGCUGUGUCCCGACUCCCAUUGUAAAAGUUUGUAUUUAUGAAGGGUAUAUGUACUGGAAAUCAAAAUCACUGUUCCCUGUAUUAGCACUGAUUAAAGCCUCUAUAUCAAACGAAAUUGAGAUUUUCAGUGUGUAUAUCAAAAUAUUUAUUUUUUAACAAAGUUAUGAAACGAAACAAAACAAACUAAAAAUAUAAUAUCAGUAAUCAAGAGUGAAUUCAUCAAAAUUCUAAUGUGAUUCAACGUUACUUCACAGACAUAAAUAUCAUUGUGUCUCUGAUUUAAAUCAUGAAAAAACGUCACUCUAUGAUAUGUAAGAAAAAAUAUGAAACAAUCACACAUAAUUAACUAUACUUCUGGAAGUCCCUGAAAAUGCAUAAAUUAGACUCGUUUACCUAAAUUGUAACAACAGGUGGAUGGAUUAUUUUUUUGCAUGCUUUCAAAAAACCCAGUGACCCUCAUUUUGAAGUCAAGCCUUAUUUAUUCUUAUGUAAUUCUUAGCUUAAGGUAUCAUUAAAACUGUUUUGUAGGGAUUAGUCCUACCUAAUAGACAAUUCCCAAAACACAAGCAAUCAAAACAAAAAACGGCGAGUUUUUCUGUUUGUAUGCAAAAAUGAAAACAUUGCUGUAAAUGAAGUAACCAUAGAAAUGCUUUGUAUUAGUUGCUUUUAAAAAAGUAAUGUGUCAAUUUUUCUUUUGUUCGUUUUGUCGAUUUUUUUAAGAUUGAAAAUCUUGAAAAAUUGUUAAGUCGUUCAAAAAUUAGAACACCAGAAAAGUAUCUCCCUUGCCUUGAAGAGGAUUUCAACCAAUGAAAUAAUUGAAAAUUUUCACUUCAUGCACUUUCUACCAAUGAAAAAAGAGAGGAAGUGCAAAGUCCGAAGACUGCAAAACACUUCAACUCUGUUCCAAGGAAGACGGUAAUGACCCUUUCCAUUCUUGUCGAGAACAAUACAUUAUCUAAAAAUAAUCGGAAAACCCCGGUCAUCAAUAGAUCGGUUAUCAAUG
Molecule: long non-coding RNA, 5698 nt
Organism: Ostrea edulis (European flat oyster)
Lineage: Eukaryota; Metazoa; Mollusca; Bivalvia; Ostreida; Ostreidae
Exons: 4
Source: RefSeq, a predicted model, not a curated record